GGUCAUGAGUGCCAGCGUCAAGCCCCGGCUUGCUGGCCGGCAACCCUCCAUCCGCGGUGGGGUGCCCCGGGAGACGACCAGGUUGAGCAGCCGCAUACCGGCUGCGAGGCAAGCGCGGGUC
This 121-nucleotide non-coding RNA is filed under the name Mycolicibacterium llatzerense. RNAcentral's name for it is "Mycobacterium llatzerense SAM-IV sequence". It matches the Rfam family "SAM (S-adenosyl methionine) riboswitch aptamer". Rfam says of the family: SAM-IV is a mRNA element that regulates gene expression via direct sensing of S-adenosylmethionine (SAM or AdoMet). Lineage: Bacteria; Bacillati; Actinomycetota; Actinomycetes; Mycobacteriales; Mycobacteriaceae. The record is from Rfam by way of RNAcentral.